This 1540-nucleotide unclassified non-coding RNA is filed under the name Hevea brasiliensis (rubber tree). The record is from RNAcentral. Lineage: Eukaryota; Viridiplantae; Streptophyta; Magnoliopsida; Malpighiales; Euphorbiaceae.
CAAAAUUAAACAGAUAAAAUCCAAAAUCAAACUGAACAAAUCAAUACACAAUCCUAUUAUAUUUCAUUACGAAUACUAAACAUCCAACUUAAACCAAAUUCUAGACAUUUAAUUUAAACGAAAAAUAAAUAAAAGAUAAGAUAUGGAUAAGUACCUAUUCGAAUCCUUUAUUUAGAGAAUCCGACACGAGUACGAGUUCAAACCAACUUAAACUAAAUCAUAAGACAUUGAUUUUUUUACCUAACUAGACCCAAAUUAAGAAUGCCCCAAGAAUUUUGUGGCCAAGUUUUCUCUUUUGCCUUCAUCAACAAAACCCUUGUCCAAGCAACCCAACCUUCCCAAGACAUUCUUUUGUCCCAUGGACUCCCCCAUUCCAAGAUCAAUCUUAGCCCCUUCUCAGCCUCUUUUUCAGCCUCUUCAAACUCCCCUUUGCUCAAAUAAAUUUGCCCCAACACCACAUGAGGCUCACCUACAAAAGGGUUCUUGUCAAUACUCAUCACUAACUUCUCUUUAGCCCAAUCUAAACCUCUCUUAGACCCUUGACAAACACCUUCCCAAUACAAUUCUCUUGCCAUUUUUUGCUCUUCUGCAUCCAAAACUCUUGUGCAAUUGUCGAAAACCGGUGGAAUAACAAGCUCAAUCUCUUCGUCCCUCCCGGAUACAACAACCCUUUCGCCAUUACGCCUUCUUUGUUCAAUAAUUAUCUCUUCUUCUCUUAAUAUGAGAGUAUAAAUUGCACCCAUUCUUGACGCUGAAUUCAUCCAUAGCCCGGGCUUUCCAUCACCGGGCCAUAGAGUUGUUUGCGAAUUGUUUCCAGUGAAUUCCAAUCUCCCGUUAGAAUUCUCAAACAACAAAUCCUGAAAAUUAAACAACUGAUCACUGAAAUCCGCCAUUGUCAUUAGUAGAAACACAGCUACUAAUCUCCUCGAAACCAAAACAUCUUCACCCGUCUUAAUAUGCUUCACAAUUACACCAUCAACAGGCAAAAUCGACCCCAGUUUCUUCCUCCACGCUUCGUUUUCAUUAAACAAACCCUUCUCCUUCGCAUUACUCAACGACGCCAUUGAAAGCUCGAGAUGCUCAACAAGCUCUGAAUCAGCAUACCGAAACAACAAAUCGUCGUGAAUUAACGACUGACGAGGCACAAUACAGAACAGAUGAAUCAAUCUCUCAGCCGCUUCACCGACGUGACGACGUACAGUUUCCCGUCCGGUGGACGGAUCGAAUAUAGCUAGAUUCACAUAUGAAUUUGAAUAAGCUGAAUGGAAAAGACCACAAAGACAAACGGAAUUUGGGGCUUCCCAGAUUUUGAGAAUUUUGUAAAUAUCGAUUAAGUGAUCGAGAAAACUGCCGUGUUUAUGCCAACAUUCGCCGGCGCCGACGGAACGUAAAACGGCGAUAAGGCUAGGGAGAUCUUUGUCGAUUGAUUCGAAUUCUCCGCGUAAAAAAGGACGGCAUGAUUCUAAAAGGGAAUGGAGAUUAGUAGGAGAAAGAGAACUCAGUGAUGAUGGCAUUUUUUAUUUUUUUUUGCUUGGUUGAG